ACGUAGGGUGCGAGCGUUGUCCGGAAUUAUUGGGCGUAAAGAGCUUGUAGGUGGCUCGUUGCGUCGGGAGUGAAAACCCGCGGCUCAACCGCGGGCCUGCUUCCGAUACGGGCGGGCUAGAGUUCGGCAGGGGAGACUGGAAUUCCUGGUGUAGCGGUGGAAUGCGCAGAUAUCAGGAGGAACACCGGUGGCGAAGGCGGGUCUCUGGGCCGAUACUGACACUGAGAAGCGAAAGCGUGGGGAGCGAACAGGA
This 253-nucleotide ribosomal RNA is filed under the name uncultured prokaryote. Its description in RNAcentral is "partial 16S ribosomal RNA". It matches the Rfam family "Bacterial small subunit ribosomal RNA", at positions 525 to 777 of the family's 1533-position model. The record is from RNAcentral.